AUUGAACGCUGGCGGCAGGCCUAACACAUGCAAGUCGAACGGUAACAGGAAACAGCUUGCUGUUUCGCUGACGAGUGGCGGACGGGUGAGUAAUGUCUGGGAAACUGCCUGAUGGAGGGGGAUAACUACUGGAAACGGUAGCUAAUACCGCAUAACGUCGCAAGACCAAAGAGGGGGACCUUCGGGCCUCUUGCCAUCGGCUGUGCCCAGAUGGGAUUAGCUAGUAGGUGGGGUAACGGCUCACCUAGGCGACGAUCCCUAGCUGGUCUGAGAGGAUGACCAGCAACACUGGAGCUGAGACACGGUCCAGACUCCUACGGGAGGCAGCAGUGGGGAAUAUUGCACAAUGGGCGCAAGCCUGAUGCAGCCAUGCAGCGUGUAUGAAGAAGGCCUUCGGGUUGUAAAGUACUUUCAGCGGGGAGGAAGGGAGUAAAGUUAAUACCUGUAAUCAUUGACGUUACCCGCAGAAGAAGCACCGGCGAACUCCGU
This 489-nucleotide ribosomal RNA is filed under the name uncultured bacterium. Its description in RNAcentral is "partial 16S ribosomal RNA". It matches the Rfam family "Bacterial small subunit ribosomal RNA", at positions 30 to 506 of the family's 1533-position model. The record is from RNAcentral.